UCGGAUAUGGUGUAACGGCUAACAUGGCUGUCUUUCACAGUGCUAAUUACAUUAGCAAGGACACAGCAGCCCCGGGUUCGACUCCCGGUAUCCGAA
This is a non-coding RNA of Paxillus rubicundulus Ve08.2h10, 96 nucleotides long. The record is from Rfam. NCBI's taxonomy places the organism in Eukaryota, Fungi, Basidiomycota, Agaricomycetes, Boletales, Paxillaceae.